RNAcentral lists this long non-coding RNA (222 nucleotides) under Homo sapiens (human). RNAcentral's name for it is "HSALNT0224583". Lineage: Eukaryota; Metazoa; Chordata; Mammalia; Primates; Hominidae. The record is from RNAcentral.
AGCCAGCCCACCUCAAUGCCAACGACUGGGCCACCAAUGGUGUGGGCCGGAAAGGAGCCACUCAUAUGGCUACGGGCUUUUGGACGCAGGCGCCAUGGUGGCCCUGGCCCAGAAUUGGACCACAGUGGCCCCCCAGCGGAAGUGCAUCAUCGACAUCCUCACCGAGCCCAAGACAUCGGGAAACGGCUCGAGGUGCGGAAGACCGUGACCGCGUGCCUGGGC